GACGAACGCUGGCGGCGUGCUUAACACAUGCAAGUCGAACGGAAAGGCCCUGCUUUUGUGGGGUGCUCGAGUGGCGAACGGGUGAGUAACACGUGAGUAACCUGCCCUUGACUUUGGGAUAACUUCAGGAAACUGGGGCUAAUACCGGAUAGGAGCUCCUGCUGCAUGGUGGGGGUUGGAAAGUUUCGGUGGUUGGGGAUGGACUCGCGGCUUAUCAGCUUGUUGGUGGGGUAGUGGCUUACCAAGGCUUUGACGGGUAGCCGGCCUGAGAGGGUGACCGGCCACAUUGGGACUGAGAUACGGCCCAGACUCCUACGGGAGGCAGCAGUGGGGAAUAUUGCACAAUGGGCGGAAGCCUGAUGCAGCAACGCCGCGUGCGGGAUGACGGCCUUCGGGUUGUAAACCGCUUUCGCCUGUGACGAAGCGUGAGUGACGGUAAUGGGUAAAGAAGCACCGGCUAACUACGU
Molecule: ribosomal RNA, 467 nt
Filed under: uncultured bacterium
Lineage: Bacteria
Description: partial 16S ribosomal RNA
Rfam family: Bacterial small subunit ribosomal RNA
Source: RNAcentral